UGAAGAGCGGAGACUAUUCCUAAGUUCAACUUCAUCUAGACGCAUCUACGUCCUUGUUUCUCAAUAUGACCACAAAUAACGAUGAUACAUUUGAACGGUGGCUCAAGGAGUACAUAGAGAUAUGUGAAAAAUGUUACCGAAGGUGCCUUAAACCUGGGGGACCUCUCCGUCUAAGCCCCGGAGAGAUAAGCUGCAUGGAGUCCUGUAUGAGAAAGGAACUGAAGCGCUACAAAUGGAGAAGAGAAAUUGCCUCU
This is a long non-coding RNA of Schistocerca gregaria, 254 nucleotides long. RefSeq lists it as uncharacterized. Lineage: Eukaryota; Metazoa; Arthropoda; Insecta; Orthoptera; Acrididae. The transcript is spliced from 3 exons. The record is from RefSeq and is a predicted model, not a curated record.